Molecule: unclassified non-coding RNA, 811 nt
Filed under: Hevea brasiliensis (rubber tree)
Lineage: Eukaryota; Viridiplantae; Streptophyta; Magnoliopsida; Malpighiales; Euphorbiaceae
Source: RNAcentral
GACAAAGCUGCAAGGGGAAAUUCAGGGGGCCUACCAAAUCAAAGUUACCACUACAGCUUUGGCGUUACUUUUAUCUACAAAGCAUGCUGAAUUGGGGAAACUGAAUGUUCAUGGCUAUCUUAUUCAGUCCUCUGCAGGGAUAACUACACGCUCAAAAGCUAAAACAGCUCCAGAUCAAUGGAUGAUGAUGCCUCUUCCUGCCAAGAUACUUGCUUUAUUAGCGGACGCCUUGAUCGAAAUUCAAGAGCAAGUUUUAGUUGGUGGCGACGAGGAUAGCGACUGGGAGGAAGUUCAAGAAGCAGACGUUGAGACGGAUGAAGCCUUAAUUCUAUCAAGCAGUGCCAUACCCCGUGGUAGACCAUCCCAUGAUUACCUUGACGCGAUGGCAAAAGCGUUUGACGAGGACCAGGAUGACGGUGACGAUGAUGACCUUCUUAGUGGUGCCGACCCCCUUAAUGAGAUAAAUCUGGUGAAUUAUCUAGUAGAUUUUCUCAAGAAAUUCUCUCAUAGUGAAGGAGCAAUUUUCAGUCAUCUGUUACAGAAUUUAACGAAAUCUCAACACGAUGCUAUUCAAAUGGUGUUGAAGCAAUGAGGAUUCUUUUGUUGUACAAAAGGUGAGUACAAUGUUCAUUGUGAAAGUAUAUCUGGUUUUGGCCUAAAAUGGUUCUUGGUGAGUGACUAUGCGUUUGUUUGUAAAGCGAAAUUUUAUAAAUUUUUUGAUUAUUUUCUUUCAAUUAAAACGCUUGUAAUUUAAGGUAACGAGUAACAACUUGUAUUUGUUUGAGGCAAUGUAAAUUUACGCGAUGUGAGG